Molecule: long non-coding RNA, 622 nt
Filed under: Vigna radiata
Lineage: Eukaryota; Viridiplantae; Streptophyta; Magnoliopsida; Fabales; Fabaceae
Description: long non-coding RNA (VRAD_LNC011783)
Source: RNAcentral
AUUGCAUUCAUGUUUAUUUUUCCGUACUUCAUAUUCAAAAACCCCAAAAUAUUGUUCUUAUAGUCUUGAUUGGUUAAGCAAAAGCACAAUAGUUUAGUGCCAUGAGUCUCUUGGGAAAACGAUACUUGGACUUACCAUUUAUUAUUACUUGAGACGAUCUGGUACACUUGCCAAAGUGUUAACACUCACCAAACAAGGUGUUUCACUCAAUCACUCAAGUGUUCCAAAAGGUUCACUCCUUCCCUCCACUAUCCACAUGUCACAUAGAACAAAAUUGCCUUUCAUUUACCACAAUCAAUCACCAUCACACAUAUAUACCAUCACAAGGACUUUUUCCAAGGCUUAUAAUGUGGUUAGGCGAACAAGAAAAAUUGGUUUUUCUAGAUCACAAAAUCCUUGAGUUAAGAGAGUUAUUCAAACAUUCAUAUUUCAAGCACAAACUCUCUUUUUGCCAAUCUCACUUAUUCCUAACUUCCCUUUUCUUUUGCAUUGAGCUUUUCUUUUCAUGCUAUCUUUUCUAUCUUUUUCAUGCUUUUCAUACUUUACUCAACACAUUAGCUCAAUGCUUAUCUUUCUUUUAAUUUCCCCAACAACCCCAAACUUGAACCUUUAUCAAUACCAC